Molecule: non-coding RNA, 24 nt
Filed under: Cricetulus griseus (Chinese hamster)
Lineage: Eukaryota; Metazoa; Chordata; Mammalia; Rodentia; Cricetidae
Source: RNAcentral
AACAAGUACUGGAAGCUGCUCUUC